Long non-coding RNA from Nerophis lumbriciformis (worm pipefish), 2850 nucleotides. RefSeq lists it as uncharacterized. The record is from RefSeq and is a predicted model, not a curated record. Lineage: Eukaryota; Metazoa; Chordata; Actinopteri; Syngnathiformes; Syngnathidae.
CACACACACACACACACACACACACGUCCCCUGCCUUCUUCCCCUCUGUCUGCUCCUUUUCUCGUCACCUCCUCUUUUGCCAUUGUUAAUUUAUUUGGUGGUUUAGUAUGGAUCCUGGUGGCUUCCUCCAAUGUUCCCGUUCCUUUGCUGCAAGACUGGGUCAUGUGUGUCUGUCAUUGCCUUCUUCCUCUCCUCCGCCUACCUCACCUUACUCAUCACCGGCCUGGCAGACCGCAUCAAUACUGAUUGGAACUUUUUGAUGUCCUCAGUGUUUGAACGUGACAUCUUAUUGGUCCUUCGAGCCGGAUUCCAACACGUCUGACGAUUCCAGCAUGAGUGAGUGAAACCAGAAAGACCAUGGCAACCAAAUCCUGAUUGAGGAACUGCUUUUUCUUCAUUUCGGGCUGGAAUUGGAAAGACUGACGGAAAAUCCGAGGACAAAAGGAAGGAAGGCAGAGAGCAGUGAGUACGUUUUAAAUUGACGAAGAAAGAAACGACUAAGAAAAAGCGUGUGACGAGGGUUACGACGCAUAGACAAACCCUGUAAAUCCUAGGCUCUAACAGGUAAAAAAGGCCAAAAUUACUGCAGGACGUCGGUGUCCGCGAAAACUGAAAUACCCGAAAUAAACUAAAAACUAAAAUUCAAAAACUGAAGAGGCCAAUAUACUGCAGGUAAACGGAACCGCGAAAACUGACUGUCCUGAGAGAAAAAAAAAAUAAUUAACAAUCAAAGUAACUCAGCAUGACUGUUAAAAGACGACACCAAUUAGUCAUGUUGUCAGCGUAUGCCAUUGGUGGUAAGAUCGCUGCAAAUGUGUUUGUUUGUUUGUUAAUGUGUGUUUAAGUGUGUAUCUUUCCAGGUACAAAUUGUGUAAAAACCCCAGAGGUUCAAAUAAAAAUAGAAAUAGGUUAAAAGAAAAAGCAAAUAGGAGAAAAAUCUCAAAGAGCUAAAAUGAGACAAAAGUAAAAAUAGAUGAAGAAAUGGGGAAAAAUCAAUAAGAAGAAUUAAUGCAAAAUGGAAUAAACUAAUGUGUAUGACAGAGAUAAUGGGGGUAUUGAAAUAAGAGAUGAAGAAAAGGUAGACUGAAGAUAUACAUGUAUGUUUGGAUAUAUAAAGAAUGCUUUUAUAUAUACAAAUAUAUAUAUGUAUAAUUAAAUAAUGGAACAAAUAAAAACCUAGAUUAAUAACUAUAAUAAGAGUUGAGAUGUAUAGUACGAUAAAAUGAUAAAGUGGGUUACAUGUUUAUUAGCUGAGGAAAGAAGAGAGAAAAAAGAAAAAAAAAAGAGAAAUCUCUUCAAGUGUUGCUGACCUUUGCCCUUAAGAGUGCACUCACGCACUUACACACCACCAUGUGUGUGUGUGUGCGUGGCGCAGUGGGGGAGGUGUGAAAGUGAAUUUAUUACAUGUAAGUUUAAAGUAGGUUUAACUUUAAAGUGUAGUAUAACAUUCUUAAGUUAGAUUAUGUUUUAGACAUUUGCAACACCAUACAUCUGAGUGUUGAGCUAAGAUAAGAUAAGGACAUAACAUAGAAUAAAUAAGGAGGUAUGGCAAUCAGGAAAACUAUCAGCUAGCGAUAGACAACUGUUUGCUUUGAAUAUUGUUGAAUAAUAAUUGCAAAUAAAAAAUAUAAACAAUGGGAAGAAUGUAAAUUCAGAGUUUAAAAGUAUAGAUUAAGUGACGUAUAGACAGUUAAGUGAGUUUAAAACAUUACUUAAAAAAUACAUAAAGUAAUAUGUAUAACAUUUGAAUUAGGAGGAAAAAUAACAUUAGCGUUAUUAAAUCAUCUACAUAGUGAAAGACACAAAAUAAGCAAAAUAAAAGUACAAUUAUGCAAAAGAGAAGUAAAGAAUCUAGGACGUUCUCUAAACAAAAAUGGACGCACUAUUGUGGAAAAUAGAAAACCAAAGUACUACAAGUACAAAAACCACAAAUAAAGAAGCAAAUGAGGUAGUUUCUAGGAUUAACUAAUUAUUGUAGAAGUUGGAUACCAAAUUAUGCUGAAAUAGUAGCUCCUUUAAGUAAAUUAAUGAAAAAAUUAAAUCAUCUGUAGAGUGGAAUUCAGAAGCUAAAGCAGCAUUCUGUGAAAUAAAAAUAGAACAGAAUGUGCGAUUGUUACAGUAACGAAAAUUUUGAAAGCUAUCAAAUGACCAUCAAAUUGCUCAAUGCAAGCGGCAGAACUAGAAGCACUAAUAGAAGCAUGUAAAGUAAUGAAAGAUCAAAAGGUCACAAUAUAUAUAAAGAUAGCCAAAAUAUAGGAAUGAUAAAGUCAACAGGAAAAUCUGUAACACAUUGGAGAACUGAUCAAAAAAAUUAAAAAAAAGAGAGAGAAAAAAGAAUUAGUAGAAGCAGUACAGCUACCAGCUAAAAUAGUAAUAUACAAAAGUGCGACACACACCAAAGGAACAGACACAGUAUCAAUAGGAAAUGUGUUUGCUGACAAAACAGCAAAACAAGCAACAGAAAAGGAAAUACAAAUUUCAAACGACAAACUAGUGACAUGAAUAAUGAUAUACUAAAAGAUAUGCAACAACAAAGUACUCCAAAAGAAAAAGAUAAAUGGAUAAAAAAAAAAACGAAGUCACGUUGAUCAAAGAAGACAUCUAUGUAUGUCCAGACAAUAAACUAAUCUUACCAAAAAAUCUAUAUAAAUGGGUAGCAGUUUUGAGCCAUGAUUGAACUCAUGGCUCAACAGGAGGGAUAUGAAUACCCUUAUACAGAAGUACCGUAUUUUCCGCACUAUAAGGCGCACCUAAAAACCACAAAUGUUCUCAAAAGCUGACAGUGCGCCUUAUAACCCGGUGCGCUUUAUUACGAUUCAUUUUCAUAAAGUUUCGAUCUCGCAACUUCGG